CCCAUAUGGUCGACCUGCAGGCGGCCGCGAAUUCACUAGUGAUUCGUAUACCGCGGGUGCUGGCACGUAGUUAGCCGGUGCUUCUUCUGCAGGUACCGUCACAAAAAGCUUCGUCCCUGCUGAAAGCGGUUUACAACCCGAAGGCCGUCAUCCCGCACGCGGCGUUGCUGCAUCAGGCUUGCGCCCAUUGUGCAAUAUUCCCCACUGCUGGCUCCCGUAAGAGUCUGGGCCGUAUCUCAGUCCCAAUGUGGCCGGUCACCCUCUCAGGCCGGCUACCCGUCGCCGCCUUGGUAGGCCACUACCCCCCAACAAGCUGAUAGGCCGCGAGUCCAUCCACAACCGCCGGAGCUUUCCAACCCCCACCAUGCAGCAGGAGCACAUAUCCAGUAUUAGCACCAGUUUCCUAGCGUUAUCCCAAAGUUGUGGGCAGGUUACUCACGUGUUAUCACCCGUUCGCCACUCGUUACCCCCGAAAGGGCCUUACCGUACGACUUGCAUGUGUUAAGCACGCCCCCCGCGUUCGUCCUGAGCCAUGAUCAAACUCUAAUCGAAUUCCCGCGGCCGCCAUGGCGGCCGGGAGCAUGCGAC
This 588-nucleotide ribosomal RNA is filed under the name uncultured Actinomycetes bacterium. RNAcentral's name for it is "uncultured actinobacterium partial 16S ribosomal RNA". The record is from RNAcentral. Lineage: Bacteria; Bacillati; Actinomycetota; Actinomycetes.